RNAcentral lists this ribosomal RNA (301 nucleotides) under uncultured bacterium. Its description in RNAcentral is "partial 16S ribosomal RNA". It matches the Rfam family "Bacterial small subunit ribosomal RNA", at positions 509 to 807 of the family's 1533-position model. The record is from RNAcentral.
CAGUCGCCACGGUAAUACGAAGGGGGCUAGCGUUGUUCGGAAUCACUGGGCGUAAAGCGCACGUAGGCGGACUUUUAAGUCAGAGGUGAAAUCCCAAGGCUCAACCUUGGAACUGCCUUUGAUACUGGGAGUCUUGAGUUUGGGAGAGGUGAGUGGAACUGCGAGUGUAGAGGUGAAAUUCGUAGAUAUUCGCAAGAACACCAGUGGCGAAGGCGGCUCACUGGCCCGAUACUGACGCUGAGGUGCGAAAGCGUGGGGAGCAAACAGGAUUAGAUACCCCUGUAGUCCCUGUCUCUUAUAC